UGGCGGUAUGCUUAACACAUGCAAGUCGAACGAGACGAGAUGGAAGGAUCCUCGGUGACGGAAAUCUUAGAAAGUGGCGAACGGGUGAGUAACGCGUGGGUAACCUGCCCUAUGGAAAGGAAUAGCCUCGGGAAACUGGGAGUAAUGCCUUAUAAUACAUUGAAGUCGCAUGGCUUUGAUGUUAAACGCUCCGGUGCCAUAGGAUGGACCCGCGUCCCAUUAGCUAGUUGGUGAGAUAACAGCCCACCAAGGCGACGAUGGGUAACCGGUCUGAGAGGGCGAACGGUCACACUGGAACUGAGACACGGUCCAGACCUCCUACGGGAGGCAGCAGGUGGGGAAUAUUGCGCAAAAGUACGGGGGAAACCCUGACGCAGCAAUACCGCGUGAGUAGAAGUAAGGUUUUCGGAUACGUAAAGCUCUGUUAGUUGGGGAAAGAAAAAAGACGGUACCCAAGAAGAAAGUCCCGGCUAACUACGUGCCAGCAGCCGC
This 492-nucleotide ribosomal RNA is filed under the name uncultured bacterium. RNAcentral describes it as "bacterial SSU rRNA". It matches the Rfam family "Bacterial small subunit ribosomal RNA", at positions 37 to 518 of the family's 1533-position model. The record is from RNAcentral.